Molecule: transfer RNA, 74 nt
Filed under: Sphaerodactylus townsendi
Lineage: Eukaryota; Metazoa; Chordata; Lepidosauria; Squamata; Sphaerodactylidae
Description: tRNA-Gly
Rfam family: tRNA
About the family: Transfer RNA (tRNA) molecules are approximately 80 nucleotides in length. Their secondary structure includes four short double-helical elements and three loops (D, anti-codon, and T loops).
Source: RNAcentral
AGAGGAUGUGGCUCAGUGGUAGAGCACCUGCUUGCCAUGCGGAAGGUCUCAGGUUCUAAUCCCCAGUGUCCCUG